Quercus lobata is the source of this 2355-nucleotide RNA transcript. It is a transcript of the gene named F-box/kelch-repeat protein At3g23880-like, with no coding region annotated. The transcript is spliced from 3 exons. The record is from RefSeq and is a predicted model, not a curated record. NCBI's taxonomy places the organism in Eukaryota, Viridiplantae, Streptophyta, Magnoliopsida, Fagales, Fagaceae.
ACACAUAAAAACGUAUUCCUCCAGCUCCUUCCCUUCAUUUCACUCUUUUCACACUCAACUCAAAACAAAAAUCAAAACCUAAAACCUUAAACUUGGUCCCUUCCUAAUGUCUCGAGCUAAAACAAUGCGUGAGCGUGUUCCAGACGACAUCGUAGAAGACAUCCUGGGUCGACUACCAGUGAAAUCCUUAAUCCGAUUCAGGUGCGUUUCUAAGUCUUGUAAUUCAAUCAUCACUGGCACCACUUUCAUCAACAACCACUUAAAGCUCAACCAUAGCCAAUGCGAAUCAUUAAUAUCCACAAACUCCCGCAGUGGGUAUUUGCUAUAUACUACAAAGGAUAAGAAUAGUUCACCAUCUUCCAAACAAUUGUGUACGGUUGUUUGCAACAACGACCGCACUUUGACCCAGGUUUCUAGGUUUGAAAUCCCCUCUUUUUUUGACAAGUACAUGAUUGUUGCUUUCUGUAAUGGCCUGUUCUGCCUAGCUAGUCGUGAGAAAGAACUUUGUCACAUUAUUUAUUUGUGGAACCCAAGUAUUAGAAUGUUCAAGAAACUUGUAGCUACUCGCUUUAAUGGCAAGCAUAAUGAAAGUGCCACUAUUGGAUUUGCUUAUGAUUCUCUGAACAACGACUUCAAGAUUCUGAGAAUUGUGUGUAAUGCGAUGUUCAAUGAAUCAGAAGCUGAAGCAGAGAUUUACACGUUUAGUUCGGAUUCGUGGAGGAAGGUUGAAAUAUCAAUGGAGUCCUUAAGAGGGUGUGCAGUGACUGAACCCAAACUUGGGACUAUUUAUUGUGUUUUGGGUCCCUUUACAUUUUAUAAUGGAGCUCUGCAUGCUUCAGCAUUUACUGUCGGCUAUUCAUUCAUUUUGUCCUUUGACAUUAGCGAUGAGAGCUUCCAUGAGAUAAUGAUGCCUCGUAAUCACUUUGAUCCAUUGACUACAAAUUUCACUAAACUUGCAGUCUACAAGGGAUUGCCGGCUAAGUUUGGUUUCGCUCAUGAUUUUGGCAAUGUGGGUAAUGGGCGUGUCUUAUGCCACGUAUGGGUUAUGGAGGAGUAUGGUGUGCCCGAGUCUUGGACUAGAAAAUUUGUGAUACCAAUGAAAUGGGUUCGGUGGGAACAUUUCUUUGGCUGCACUAACAAUGGUGAACUUCUCAUUAAGAAUGCCACUGGGCUGGUUUCAAUUGACCCUGAGAGUCAAAAUCAGAACAUUCUUGCAAUUGAAGAUGCUAAUUGGGUGGCUUUCUCAGCUAAUUCAAUGGAGAGCUUGGUUUUACUUGAUGGGGAUAGAGAGACUGAGAGAGAGGAGGAGGAGGAGAAGAACUCCAAUGUUUGCUCCAUGGAUGACCUAGGCGGUGGCGGUGCUUUGGGCAGUGGUGGUGGCCUAGGCAGUAGCAGCAGUGGGCUGGGCAGCAGUGGCGAUGGCCACAGCAGGGCGACUUCAUAAAAAUUAAUUGGAAACUUCCUUGGUCUCGUUAGCUUCCUUUACGCUGGUGGUUUUCUUGUGGCAGCUUCUUUUUAGAGCUUUGCCUCUAGGAACUGUUCUUGCUAGCAGAAAUAUAACCACUGAUAUGACUAAGGAUUAUCUUAAUUUAGGGAUGAACACAAUUUACUUUCGUACAAUUAAGACAUAUAUUGUUUGUUGCUUUGUUUUUCAUAUGUAAUAGGUGUAAAAAUAGUAUUUCUAUCUAAAUUUUGGGCAUAAGUUUUUCUUCAUUGGAAUUAGAUGUUACUGCUACAAAGUUCAUAAAAAAACAACUUUCCAUUCAAGAAGAUCUUUUGAGGGAGCACUCUACUACGGUACUACCAGUUGAUGAUGAAGGACUAGGUUGCCAACCAUCAAUACAACCGGUUUUGAGAAUGAUUCUUCAAGUACAAAAGAUGAAAAUAAUGUUGGGAGUCAUGGUGCUUCUGGUAGCUCUGUAGGUAUCAAGGUAGUUAUUGUAUGCCUUGGUAGCUGUUUUUUCUUUUGCUAGCUUUUAUUCAAGAUAUGGCAGAAAAAGAAGAGAGAAAAGCAGCAUGCUCGUCUUCUAAAGCUGUUUGAGGAUGAUGAUGAGCUUGAGGUCGAAGUUGGUAUUCACGGCUGAGAUCCUUUCUCAUUCAUAUCUUGACUAUAAUCAAGAGGGGUGCCUCAUGGCUUUUGUUUUGCCUUUCAUUUGUAGCGAUCACUGCUUUGUUGAUAUAGGUUGUUUGAAACUUUAUAUUUACAGCUUUUUUCUGCAUGAUAUCUUUAUUGAAUACCGUUUUGUAGAUCUUAUACUGAUUAUGGUUAUAGGUGAUCUAUUCCAAGGGAUUAUCGGUUUUUCCAAGAAAGGAGUUUUGUUGUGAACUUAGUUUUUCAAGGCUUUGGCAAUACAG